Non-coding RNA from Xylaria arbuscula, 118 nucleotides. Lineage: Eukaryota; Fungi; Ascomycota; Sordariomycetes; Xylariales; Xylariaceae. The record is from the annotation of a GenBank genome assembly.
GGGCGAAUGGUCUAGGGGUAUGAUAUUCGCUUUGCAUGAUCUGAUUGUGUGUGGUACUACAUAAUGUUCAGAACUCACUGCCUGCGAAGGGUCCGGGGUUCAAAUCCCCGUUCGUCCA